UACAGAGGGGGCUAGCGUUAUUCGGAAUUAUUGGGCGUAAAGGGCGCGUAGGCGGCCAUGCGUGUCUUCCGUGAAAUCCCUCGGCUUAACUGAGGACGUGCGGAAGAAACUGCAAGGCUCGAGUCCGGGAGAGGGGGGUGGAAUUCCCAGUGUAGCGGUGAAAUGCGUAGAUAUUGGGAGGAACACCGGUGGCGAAGGCGGCCCCCUGGACCGGUACUGACGCUGAGGCGCGAAAGCUAGGGGAGCAAACAGG
This 253-nucleotide ribosomal RNA is filed under the name uncultured bacterium. Its description in RNAcentral is "partial 16S ribosomal RNA". It matches the Rfam family "Bacterial small subunit ribosomal RNA", at positions 524 to 776 of the family's 1533-position model. The record is from RNAcentral.